AGUUCCGGCAUCAGAAUACGUAUCCGAUUCGCGCUCACGUCUGCCCAGCAGAGAACGGGAAAUCCACGAAAGUCUCUUUCGGAUAACGUUACUAAACGAUUAUGUGAUGCAUUCAGUUCUUCUAGAGAAGGGAGCCACGUCUAUACAGAAAUAUCAUGAUUAUAAAUAUGAUCGUUGUGCGAAAGUUCGAGAAAUUUCAAUCGACGUGCCUUUUGUAGCGUACCAUCCAAACUGCGAAUCUUAUUGUGUUGAAGAUACAAACUUUCCAAACGAUGCAGUACGAUUCGUCUGGGGAACGAUUGACGGACAAUUCUGUGCACGUGGCCAGUCACGUGCGCGACAAGCGCCAGGGAAACCCCACCAAGCUCUACUAGCUGUCUUCCUCUCUUCGAGAUGAAUUGAUGAUUUCGUUCAUACGCAGGUUACAAAUAUAUCAUGAAAUCACGCAUAGUGUGCAAAACGUAUUUAAAAGAAUCUUAUCCUUCUAUCUUAUUGAUUUUGUUAAACAAUGAAAAAAAGUAAAAAAAAAAGUAAAAAAGAAAAAUAAACGAAUAGAAAUGAAAAAUACAUUUUCGAUCGGAUGAUUCUCGUAUAACAUCACGUAAAUGUUCAACGUGCCGAUCUGAAACUAUUUUUACAUAAUUUAUAAUUUAUUUAUUUAAUAUCUCUUCCGUAUCUCUUUAUAUCGUAUUAAAAAUAAUAAUAAUAUACAAGAAAUUUUCCUCGUGAACAGGAAUCGCUGAAUGAUGAAUGUUCGCUCGAUCAUUCGGUGCGAAUCAGAUCAGACUUAAUCGGCUCGAUAAAUGCAUAUCUUUGCAGAAAUAUUGAAACGGUCAAAAAAGGUUAUGUCAACUCUUAUAUAUUGAUCACAUAUUAUGACGUAUUUAUAAUUUAUUUUCUUCCUGUUUAUAAACUGUUUUGAUGUUAUCACUACCGGGUGAUGAUAUUUUUCCAUUUACCUUCUCCAUUCAUAUUUUCCUAUAAACAUUUUAUAUAAGAUAUCGAGAGAAAAUAAUUCAGAUAAUUGAAACAACCGGUAUUUGCGAACCGUGAUCAAUGCGUCAGGGAAUCUCAACCACGUGUUUAAUAUUUGCGCAUAAAUGAUUGAUAAAUACUAAUGAUAUAUGUGAUUCAAAGUUCUUAUGCGUCUAGAAGUGCACAAGAAAACUUCGAUUCCUGAACACGUGUCUCGAUGCAUUUAUAUAUUCAACUCGCGAGGAAGAAAACUAAUAAAGGCAGUGAUGAAAUGUUCUU
This is a long non-coding RNA of Apis laboriosa (Himalayan honeybee), 1254 nucleotides long. RefSeq lists it as uncharacterized. NCBI's taxonomy places the organism in Eukaryota, Metazoa, Arthropoda, Insecta, Hymenoptera, Apidae. The record is from RefSeq and is a predicted model, not a curated record. The transcript is spliced from 3 exons.